RNAcentral lists this ribosomal RNA (1143 nucleotides) under Triticum aestivum (bread wheat). Its description in RNAcentral is "partial small subunit ribosomal RNA". The record is from RNAcentral. Lineage: Eukaryota; Viridiplantae; Streptophyta; Magnoliopsida; Poales; Poaceae.
AUGAGAAGUCAUGUAAUCAACAAUGCACAUUAUGCGCGCAAUUUCUCCGUGACAAAAUACCAUCAGACGAAUGGAAGUAUUGGGCGUUUGCCUCGCAAUACACCAUCCCCGAUCCGUGCCCCCGCGCCCGAGGAGAAGGGUUUUUCUGGAUUCAUGAUCGAUUUUCUAAUGGGUGGAGUUUCUGCUGCCGUCUCCAAAACGGCGGCUGCUCCGAUUGAGCGUGUUAAGCUCUUGAUUCAGAACCAGGAUGAAAUGAUCAAGAGUGGUAGGCUUUCUCAUCCUUACAAAAGUAUCGGCCAUUGCUUCACCCGCACAAUAAAAGAUGAGGGUGUGGUUGCACUCUGGAGGGGAAACACAGCCAAUGUUAUCCGUUACUUCCCGACUCAGGCCUUAAACUUUGCCUUCAAGGACCACUUCAAGCGCAUGUUCAACUUUAGAAAGGACAAGGAUGGCUACUGGAAGUGGUUCUUCGGCAACAUAGCUUCCGGAGGAGCCGCCGGCGCUUCUUCUCUGUUGUUUGUGUAUUCUCUGGAUUACGCUCGUACUCGCCUUGCCAAUGAUGCCAAGGCUGCAAAGGUGGGUGGCCAGAGGCAGUUCGAUGGCAUCGUAGAUGUCUAUCGCAAGACCCUUGCUAGCGACGGUGUCCGCGGCUUGUACCGUGGCUUCAACGUCUCCUGUGUGGGCAUCAUCGUUUAUCGAGGUCUUUAUUUCGGAAUGUACGACUCCCUCAAGCCGGCGGUUCUUGUUGGUUCUCUUGAGGUGAGUAACCAUACCAUUGUUUCUGUAAAUUCACUCUACACAUUUUUCACUGAUAUCAUAUUUCUUUACUCUAUGCAUAUUCUGCAGGAUAACUUGCUUGCCAGUUUCUUGCUUGGCUGGGGUGUGACGAUGGGUGCAGGGCUUGCCUCGUAUCCCAUUGAUACCGUCCGCCGCCGUAUGAUGAUGACAUCUGGUGAGUCCGUGAAGUAUAAGAACUCCAUGGAUGCUUUCAGGAAGAUCAUCGCCGAGGAGGGCGCCAAGUCCCUCUUCAAGGGUGCUGGCGCCAACAUCCUCCGUGCUGUUGCGGGUGCUGGUGUGCUUGCUGUGUAUGACAAGCUCCAGGUGGUCGUCUUUGGCAAGAAGUAUGGGUCCGGUGGCGGCUAA